Molecule: long non-coding RNA, 211 nt
Organism: Coffea eugenioides
Lineage: Eukaryota; Viridiplantae; Streptophyta; Magnoliopsida; Gentianales; Rubiaceae
Exons: 3
Source: RefSeq, a predicted model, not a curated record
CCAUUUAUCCCUCCAAUUAUGUGUGAAAGCAAGGAGAAGGAACGAUUGACUGCUGGCUGUCUUCAUCAUCUCUGUCCAGCUUUGUUUCUUGAAGAUUGAAAGGAAUUGGAUUUGGACAAUAAUCAAUUGUGGUGAAUGGGGAUCAUGAGCGGUGAUUGGUGAAUACGAGAACUCCGAAGAACUUGUUUAGCCGCUUCAUUUUUUUUCCCUC